Long non-coding RNA from Alligator mississippiensis (American alligator), 2155 nucleotides. RefSeq lists it as uncharacterized. The transcript has 4 exons. Lineage: Eukaryota; Metazoa; Chordata; Crocodylia; Alligatoridae. The record is from RefSeq and is a predicted model, not a curated record.
CUUUACAGCAGCAUUGCACAGUGGUUCUGCCAUCCAGCCUUUCCUGUUUCCCAAGAUUCUUCUCCAGAAAGAUCUCCUCUGGGUUUGACUGCACUGGAAAAUCAUCUCCUGUUAGAACACAACUUGGAAAAGUCCGUUUAACUACACAGGACAUCAAACUUUUUUUGGCAAGAGUGAGUAGAUGCCAUUAGUUCCAACACACAAAUCAUAACCCUGAGGCUACUUCUCAGCAUGGCACUUUGUAAAAUGCAGACUCAGGACUUUGUUCACGACUCCCACGCCAUUCUGUGAUCUGAUAUGAAGCAUAAAAAAUGAUCCAAGCAGUGUCACACUAUAAGUGACUUGACAGACACUAUUCCUGUGGAAGUUCAGUAGAUGAGAAUUAAAAAUUUGCUUUUCUGAGAGCUAAAGAACAGCAGAAUUUUGACCUUAGUAACUGUGUUGCAAAGAACACAAACCUCCUGUCACCAGUGUUUAUAACUGUUGAUGGACCUUAAGUGAACCCUGUGCAAAGAAAUGUGUGAGCAUUUUUCUGGCCACAUGACAACUUACUGUAGCAAGGUCUACACUUACUACUACUACUACUACUACUACUAAUACUACUGUAGCACUUUAAAUGGUGCAUAAAUGCACAAUGGUGUUCCAGAUAAAGUCACUGAAUUUCUGGUAAUAUAAAUCCAGUUAAAACCUGGCUCCAUUGAGAGAUAAAACCAUCUUGGGCAGGUCUGUAUUGUAUAAUUUUUCUGGCAGCACUCAUUUUACACACAAAACUAUGAGUAAAUCCAUAUGCACAGCUACCCUGUGGCAGCAGGACCCCAUCUUUCUUCCAUCAAGGCAACACCAGUUCUGCACAGGAUAGAAACUUUCAGAAGGCAUCUGAUGUGCCUGUGGUUUCUGCUAGCUGUCACAGCCCCUUUAACAGUGAGUCUCUCAGAGUGCACUGCACGCUGUGUUGGUACAGCAGGCAUAGAGGGGAACAGAGCUUCCAGGAGCAGCGCACAUGUAAACAUGCUCUCUUGGCUUCUCUGUGAUGGUUGUGGUUUGUCAGCAGGAGGCUUGCAAUGUAGAAGAGCCCCAAAUCAUAAAUACUUCUGCAGAUAAGAUGCUAACUGGGACCCAGGGGUCUGGCGUCAAUUCUUGGCUCUGCUACCAACUCUUUGUGUGACCUUGGGCAAGCUGUAGUCUCUCUGGGCAUGUCUAUGUGCAUUAAUGCAUUGUUGCUACUGCACAUUAAGUUUAGUAUCUCUAAUAAGAGGUACUAACUAAAUGCACAGUAGCUGGUGCUAUUGCACAGUAGCAAAGGCACAUGGUCUUUCCAUGACGCUUAGUACGUAGCAGACUAAAUCUACUUCACUUUAGCACAGCUUUUGCCAUGACACAUUAAUGUGCAGUAGAAUUGGUCUCUGUGUACCUUACUUGUGAAGUGGGGGUAGUACAGCUUCCCUUCGCUCAUCUUUUGCCUUGUUCACUUAGAUAGUAAAUGCUUCCAGGAGGAACUGUCUUUGGCACUGUGUCUUAUACACUGGCUAGCACAACAUGGCCCUGAUUUCAGUUGGCCUGUUGGUGCUAUAAACCUUAAUAACUUGGCCCCCUUAAAUUGUAGAUGUCAACAUCUCAACAAUUUUCCUAGGAUUAUUUCCCACCCUCCACCCUCUUCUGAAUGUGCCAUAUAAUAAACACAGCCGGGGCUGCAAUCAGUCAUGAUUCCUUGGGUUCAUCCACACAUGCAAGCAUGUGUGCUUGCAGCAGCUCAAACAGAAGUGGUACAAAUUAGAGCCAGGGCUUUUUGCCUUAGUGCAUGUGCCCGGACAUGGACUAUGUUGUGGAGCAAAUUGUGCCACUGGGGGUAAAAUAACCCUACCUGGCUCCUCCUGGAUCUGUAGCCAGGAGGAGCAGUAUAAAAACCUGUCCUGUGCUGGCCCCCGCAGUAUAAAAACCUGCCCUGGCCAGCAGCUCAGGGCUACUUGCCCUCAGUAGCUUCUGGGGCCCAGCCACUUGGUCUCUGGGGACACUAGCCCCCUGUGUCAGUUACACUGCUGAACCAGCAUCCCAAAUCCACAUUCUUUCACAGUUAGAACAAAAGAGAAAGAGGGAGGGAUUGAUCAGAUGGGCAAUGUUUUAUUGCUAUACUUACAAUGUUAAAGCCCACAAGUGU